CUAACAUACUCACGACACUCCUCGAAGCCCACCUGCAGAGACCUUCAGAUGAUAGCUUCGCUGGAAAAAAACAACUUGACAAAAUCCCAAAUCUUGUUCCGCUGAAGGGGAGAGAUCACAUUCCAUGAUGAAGGCUUAGUGCAUGGAGUCCAAACCUGCACUGCACAGAAACAAUGCUUGCAAGGGACAGAGUCAUCAGGUGCAAUCAUGGAGACAUUUAAAGGAAGCCAGAGGACUCAGAAAAACCCCCAGCAAGCUUGACGAGAACAUGUCAAGUACAAACAAAGAGGUUCAACUAGAGACUUAAACCUGGAUCCGCUGACUAUCUGCCAGAUAAGAGACCACUACCAUUAUACGGUAGGACAGAUAACAUAUUUUGUCCUUUUGUUAGGUCUACACCAGGUGUCGGCAACCCAAAACAAUGAAAGAGCCAUAUUAGAACAAAAAACUAAUCUGUCUGGAGUCGCAACAAAUGAAAAGCCAUAUAUAAGUCUUAUAAUGAAGGCAACACAUGAUGUAAGUGUCUAUAUUAGCUAUAAUACCUUACUAUCAAAAGGACUAUGUC
Molecule: long non-coding RNA, 565 nt
Organism: Nerophis ophidion (straightnose pipefish)
Lineage: Eukaryota; Metazoa; Chordata; Actinopteri; Syngnathiformes; Syngnathidae
Exons: 4
Source: RefSeq, a predicted model, not a curated record